Non-coding RNA from Rhodocollybia butyracea, 98 nucleotides. The record is from the annotation of a GenBank genome assembly. NCBI's taxonomy places the organism in Eukaryota, Fungi, Basidiomycota, Agaricomycetes, Agaricales, Omphalotaceae.
GGCCGCCUGGCGAAAUGGCAUCGCGUCUGACUACGAUACCUGCGUAUAAGAACCUUAACGUAAUCAGGAGAUUGCAGGUUCGACCCCUGCGGUGGUCA